UAAGGAAUAUUGCUCAAUGGGAGAAAUCCUGAAGCAGCAACGCCGCGUGGAGGAUGAAGGGUCUAUGACUUGUAAACUCCUGUAAAGAAGGAAAAAAUUCCCAUUAGAUGGGAGAUGAUGGUACUUCUGGAGUAAGCCCCGGCUAACUACGUGCCAGCAGCCGCGGUAAUACGUAGGGGGCAAGCGUUGUCCGGAUUUACUGGGUGUAAAGGGUGCUCAGGCGGAUUUGUAAGUCAGAGGUUAAAUCUUACAGCUUAACUGUGAAACUGCCUUUGAUACUGCAAGCCUAGAGUAUGGAAGAGAGUGAUGGAAUAUCUGGUGUAGCAGUGAAAUGCGUAGAUAUCAGAUAGAACACCAAUGGCGAAGGCAGUCACUUGGUCCAUUACUGACGCUAAAGCACGAAAGCGUGGGUAGCAAACA
RNAcentral lists this ribosomal RNA (420 nucleotides) under uncultured bacterium. Its description in RNAcentral is "bacterial SSU rRNA". It matches the Rfam family "Bacterial small subunit ribosomal RNA", at positions 355 to 774 of the family's 1533-position model. The record is from RNAcentral.